UUAAAGAUAAGCUAUAACUAAGCUAUUGGGCUCAUAACCCAAAUAAGAAUCUCUCUCUUUAAA
Molecule: transfer RNA, 63 nt
Filed under: Planorbella duryi
Lineage: Eukaryota; Metazoa; Mollusca; Gastropoda; Planorbidae
Also listed under: 1 other name
Description: tRNA-Met
Source: RNAcentral